Molecule: long non-coding RNA, 1417 nt
Organism: Cyprinus carpio (common carp)
Lineage: Eukaryota; Metazoa; Chordata; Actinopteri; Cypriniformes; Cyprinidae
Exons: 5
Source: RefSeq, a predicted model, not a curated record
UUUAAGGCGAAUAAAACAGUAAUUCUUACUUGAAAUAUUCAAGUAGCUACAACAAAACCGAUGACAUUACUUCACCAGUGAGAGGCAGCAGUGCGGUAAUGUGUUGCUAAUGCGCAACAAAACAACAGAAGAAGAAAUAAGGACGGUUAGAGAGCAUGCGCAGCAAGCGAUGUUUUGAAUUUCUGCUCGAAUUUGCUUAAACUAGGAAGAAGUAGAGAGACUGCUUGCAUUUUACCUCUGGACAAAGACUGAAUACUUCUGCAGAAUAAUAAUAAGGAAAAAAGCUUGUGGCAACUGUCUUCUCUGAACAGCGAUCUUGUGAACAUGGGCCUCAGUACAAUAAAGAGGACACUUCACACCCUACAACCCGUAAAAAUAACCCAUGUUUGACAGAACUACACACCCAUCUGAGGCCUACUGUACCUGUUUUACUUCAUGAUCACCCCAGAUACUUCUACAGUUGACCCGCUUUGUGUCUGAUGUUGAUGCAGUCUGGGCACUAGUAUCUGCUGGCUUGCUGACUAUCACUGAAGAUGAAGUACUUCUCCAGAUCUUCUCUGUCUUGACCCUGUGUCUUCUGCCAUCAUUGUUCAGUGUAGUACUGCAAAGAACAGUCUCCAGGGUCUACCUCCAACAUUUGCUUCCGGACCGCCAUGUGCUACGUUUGGAUUACUGGUACAUGUGGAUUACCCUGAUACUGUGAAGAACACUUACAAUAUGAUGCUUGACUUGGGACAGAAAAAAAAAAAAAACAUUGGCAACUUGUGUGGCCAACUCAUUGCCAUACUUAAUCUCAUCGUACUGCUACCUUUGCUGUUUAGCAUAAACAAAAGCAGACUGUUUUUGCUUUGUUUCAAAAUGUUUGUAAUACAAGUUAAAACAUAUAUUAUCUUUAACUUUGAACUGUCACUACUUUUGAUUUAUGGGUAAUUAUGUGUGUGAAGAAUAGAACAUUGUUGUCAUGAAUUUGUAAUGGAUGUUUGAACCAUUUAAGUUACUGGAGUAAUGGUAACUUGUUUUUUUUUAAGGCAACUGGUUAAAACUAGAUUGCUGUUCAAGUAAAUACAACUUAGAAAUUCCAAGUUGCAGGAAAUGUUACUUGAUUUAGCUAAACUUAAAUGAGUUGUUUGAAAUACGCACAGUAUAUUUUACUUAAUCAUUUAGUUGUUGAAAAUAGUGAUUCUUAGUUACAAGAACUUGCAUGUAAGUUUACAACACUAAAUAAACCUUUGUUAGUACAAAUUACUAUUCUUAUUUCACUUUACUUGUUUUUUUCAAGGCAGUUGGUUUGCAUGCUUUUUUUUAAGUAAGGUUUCCUAAUUAGAAUUUACAGUGCAGACAACUUCCCUGCCCAGUGAACACUAGUGAGAUCAAUUCAGAACACUGUAACUGUAAUAAAGUGAUGUUACUAUAGUUA